RNAcentral lists this ribosomal RNA (768 nucleotides) under Schaereria cinereorufa. RNAcentral's name for it is "eukaryotic LSU rRNA". It matches the Rfam family "Eukaryotic large subunit ribosomal RNA", at positions 252 to 986 of the family's 3401-position model. The record is from RNAcentral. Lineage: Eukaryota; Fungi; Ascomycota; Lecanoromycetes; Sarrameanales.
CCMCUUCGACGAGUCNAGUUGUUUGGGAAUGCAGCUCUAAAUGGGUGGUAAAUUUCAUCUMAAGCUAAAUACUGGCCGGAGACCGAUAGCGYACAAGUAGAGUGAUCGAAAGAUGAAWAGCACUUUGGAAAGAGAGUUAAAAAGUACGUGAWAUUGUUGAAAGGGAAGCGCUUGCGACCAGACUUGCACGCGGGUGAUCAGCCGUCCUUCUGGGCGGUGUACUCGCUCGCGUUCAGGCCAGCAUCGGUUCUGGCGGCUGGAUAAAGCCCCCGGGAAUGUAGCUCUCUUCGGGGAGUGUUAUAGCCUGGGGCGACAUGCGGCCAGCUGGGACCGAGGACCGCGCUUCGGCUAGGAUGCUGGCGUAAUGGUCGUCAGCGACCCGUCUUGAAACACGGACCANGGAGUCUAACAUCUAUGCGAGUGUUUGGGCGUUAAACCCACACGCGGAAUGAAAGUGAACGGAGGUGGGAACCCUUCAGGGCGCACCAUCGACCGAUCCUGAUGUCUUCGGAUGGAUUUGAGUAAGAGCAUAGCUGUUGGGACCCGAAAGGUAUGUUGAUUCCUUCUCUCUUUUCUCAUUUCGUUGUAGCUAACUUCUCGAAAGAUGGUGAACUAUGCCUGAAUAGGGUGAAGCCAGAGGAAACUCUGGUGGAGGCUCGCAGCGGUUCUGACGUGCAAAUCGAUCGUCAAAUUUGGGUAUAGGGGCKAAAGACUAAUCGAACCAUCUAGUAGNUGGUUCCUGCCGAARUUUCCCUCAGGAUAGCAGUA